AGUGGGAAGGGGCCGGGCCUGCUGCCUGACGUCUGCGGGGCUCGGAAGAUGGCUGCGGAGCUGAGCACCGGGCAGUGGCUGCGGCGGCUGCAGGCGGGGAGCGCAGCGGGCGGGGACUCCGCCUCGCGUGUGGGGCGCUGAGUCGGGAGGCGCGGAGGCGGUGAGGGCGCACCGGGGGCUCGGGGGGCCACUCGGUGCCACCUGCCCGCCACCUGCCGCACCAUGGGCAGCGCAGAGGACGCGGUCAAAGAAAAGCUGCUGUGGAACGUGAAGAAGGAGGUGAAACAAAUCAUGGAGGAGGCUGUCACCAGGAAAUUCGUGCAUGAAGAUAGCAGCCACAUCAUUGCUCUGUGUGGUGCUGUGGAGGCUUGCCUCCUGCAUCAGCUAAGACGCCGUGCUGCUGGCUUUCUGCGAAGUGACAAGAUGGCGGCCCUGUUCACCAAAGUGGGGAAGACAUGCCCCGUGGCUGAAGAUAUCUGCCACAAGGUGCAGGAGUUGCAGCAACAGGCAGAGGGCAGGAAACCCUCGGGAGGCAGCCAAGAAGCCCUUCGGAAACAGGGCUCUACCGGUGGGAAGGCCCCAGCUCUCAGCCCACAGGCCUUGAAACACAUAUGGGUACGCACAGCACUCAUGGAGAAAGUUCUGGACAGGGUUGUACAGUACCUGGCCGAAAACUGCAGCAAGUAUUACGAGAAGGAAGCAUUAUUGGCAGAUCCUGUGUUUGGCCCAAUCCUGGCAUGUCUCCUAGUGGGACCCUGUGCCUUGGAAUACACGAAGCUCAAGACAGCUGAUCACUACUGGACUGACCCCUCUGCUGAUGAGCUGGUUCAGAGGCACCGUAUCCGGGGUCCCCCUAACCGUCAGGACUCCCCGGCAAAGCGCCCUGCCCUGGGGAUCCGGAAGCGCCACUCUAGUGGGAGUGCCUCAGAAGACCGGCUUGCCGCCUGCGCCCGUGAGUACGUGGAGUCUCUGCACCAGAACUCAAGAACACGCCUGCUCUAUGGCAAGAACAACGUGUUGGUGCAGCCGAAGGAGGACAUGGAGGCAGUCCCUGGCUACCUCUCCCUGCACCAGUCUGCAGAGAACCUAACCCUGAAGUGGACUCCCAACCAACUCAUGAACGGGACUCUCGGGGACUCUGAGCUAGAGAAGAGUGUUUACUGGGACUAUGCCUUGGUGGUGCCCUUCAGUCAGAUCGUCUGCAUCCACUGCCACCAGCAAAAGAGCGGUGGCACGCUUGUGCUGGUGAGCCAGGAUGGCAUCCAGAGGCCGCCACUACACUUCCCACAGGGAGGACACCUGCUGUCCUUCCUGUCAUGUCUGGAGAAUGGGCUGCUGCCUCGUGGACAGCUUGAGCCCCCGCUGUGGACCCAGCAGGGAAAGGGCAAGGUUUUCCCCAAGCUACGGAAACGCAGCAGCAUUCGGUCCAUUGAUGUAGAGGAGCUGGGUGUCGGACGGGCAACGGACUACGUGUUCCGGAUCAUCUACCCCGGACAUAGGCACGAGCAUAUCACUAUUAACUACCACCACCUAGCGGCCAGCCGAGCGGCCUCGGUGGACGAUGAUGAGGAAGAGGAGGAUAAACUACACGCGAUGCUCUCAAUGAUCUGCUCGCGGAACCUCACAGCUCCCAAUCCGAUGAAAGAUGCUGGCGACAUGAUUGAGAUGCAGGGUUUCGGACCCAGCCUAACAGCCUGGCACCUAGAGCCCCUGUGUAGCCAGGGCUCCUCCUGCCUUUCCUGUUCCUCCAGUAGCUCCCCAUAUGCAACCCCCAGUCACUGCAGCUGCAUUCCUGACAGGUUGCCCCUCCGGCUGCUGUGUGAGAGCAUGAAGAGGCAGAUUGUGUCCCGGGCCUUCUACGGCUGGCUAGCCUACUGUCGCCACCUGUCCACAGUGAGGACACACCUGUCUGCAUUGGUGCAUCACAACAUCAUUCCACCAGACAGGCCCCCGGGGGCCUCAGGUGGCCUCACCAAGGAUGUGUGGAGCAAGUAUCAGAAGGACGAAAAGAACUACAAGGAGCUGGAGCUGCUGCGGCAGGUGUACUAUGGAGGCGUGGAACACGAGAUUCGCAAGGACGUCUGGCCCUUCCUACUUGGCCACUACAAGUUUGGCAUGAGCAAGAAGGAGAUGGAGCAGGUGGAUACAGCAGUGGCAGCAAGGUACCAGCAGGUGUUGGCAGAGUGGAAGGCCUGCGAGGUGGUGGUGAGGCAGCGGGAGCGGGAGGCUCACCCAGCCACGCUCACCAAGUUCUCCUCGGGCAGCAGCAUCGAUAGCCACGUGCAGCGCCUCGUGCACCGGGAUUCCACCAUCAGCAAUGAUGUAUUUAUCUCUGUGGAUGAUCUUGAGCCCUCUGGACCUCAGGACCUGGAAGAUUCCAAACCAAAGCGGGAACAGGAGCCAGGAGCUGGGACCCCGGGCAUAGCAGCUGCAGAGCAGCAGUCUGUGGAGUUUGACUCUCCAGACUCAGGGCUGCCUUCCUCCCGCAACUACUCUGUGGCCUCAGGCAUCCAGUCCAGCCUAGAUGAGGCACAGAGUGUGGGCUUUGAAGACGACGGUGCUGGAGAAGAUGGCUCCGAGGGUCCAGCCACUGCAGCCCACACUUUCCCGGGACCCCACGAUCCAGGCCAGGAGACGCUUGCACCUGCCAGUGAGCUUGAAGCAGGCCAGGAGCUCGCAGCUGUGUGCGCCGCAGCCUAUACUAUAGAAUUACUGGACACCGUGGCCUUAAAUCUGCACCGCAUAGACAAGGAUGUGCAGAGAUGUGACCGCAACUACUGGUACUUCACGACCUCCAACCUCGAGAGGCUCAGAGACAUCAUGUGCAGCUACGUGUGGGAGCACCUGGAUAUGGGCUACGUGCAGGGCAUGUGUGAUCUCCUGGCACCUCUCCUGGUCAUCCUUGACAAUGACCAGCUGGCCUACAGCUGCUUCAGCCACCUCAUGAAGAGGAUGGGCCAGAACUUCCCCAGUGGGGGUGCCAUGGACAGCCACUUUGCCAACAUGCGCUCCCUCAUCCAGAUCUUGGACUCAGAGCUAUUUGAGCUGAUGCAUCAAAAUGGAGACUAUACCCACUUCUAUUUCUGUUAUCGCUGGUUCCUGCUGGAUUUUAAAAGAGCCCCGUGCCUGGAUCAAGUGGCAGCUCCUUCCUGUUCCCAGAGCUGCUGUAUGAGGACGUGUUUGCAGUGUGGGAAGUGAUCUGGGCAGCCAGGCGCAUCUCCUCAGAGCACUUUGUCCUGUUCAUCGCCCUGGCCCUGGUGGAGGCCUACAGAGAGAUUAUCCGUGACAACAACAUGGACUUCACCGACAUCAUCAAAUUCUUCAACGAGCGGGCUGAGCGGCAUGAUGCCCAGGAGAUCCUGCGGAUUGCCCGGGACUUGGUCCACAAGGUGCAGAUGCUCAUAGACAACAAGUGACGGCUGCAGCUGGGGGUGGCAAAGUGCAGAGCCCAGGUACCAGGCCCCUGAGCUCCAGCAGGGAGAGGCAGAGGCCAUCAUAGCCCAAACUGCCUCUCCCGAUCCCUUACCCCACCCUCACCCCUGCCAACCCCACCCACUCAGCUGUGUAACCUAACAAAGUGACUGAGCCUGGGAUGUGAGUGUGGGCAGUGCUGGCCCUGCAGGGCAAGUUGGGGUCAGGAUGCCUGCAGAUCACAGCUGGGUAGGAGGGGUCGGCCUCAGGAGACUGGCUGCCUUGGGGGACCCCUUUCUGUGUUCCCCUCUCAAACAACUUAGAAUAGCCCCAGUGCCGCCUGCAGCCUCAGCCUGGACUGUUUCCCAAAGCCUCUUUCCUGUCAACCUGGGGCCCUGUAUGGUUAGUGGGGUCUACAGUGGCCCGCGCCUCAUCUAACAAGAGUUGCAUAGGACCAGGGGCUCUGUGCCAUAUCUCUCCUGAGGCCUUCUAUGGUCUCAACUAGCUGCCUGUUCAGGCAUGUGUCCUAGGGGCAGGAGACCUUGGCUACCUCCCAGGCUCUCCUAAGACUCUGGGGCAGUCAGAUGUGGGCCCUGGGUGAGAGUGGCCCACCUCAGCAGCACUGCCACAGCCUCUGGCCAGAGAUUAACCCCAUGAUCUCCCCACAGUACACAGUGACCCACCCACUCGUGUGUACAGUGUCACUCUCUGCACCCUGCCCUUGCUUUCUGCACUAGAAAUCCCUAGGACUGCACAUAAGCAACACACUCGCCGCCCGCUGUGUGGUGUGGAGGGCAGUGACUGCGCUUGCCCUCCAGAACCACCCCAGAAAGUGUAGGAAGACAGUCCUAUCACAACCUUCCUCCAAGGACAGGCCUGUGAGUUCCGGGGUACCUGUUACCUAUUCCAGACAUCUGAGUACCUGGGGCUGAGGGAGGUGGGAGUGCCUGGAUAGUCCCAGUUCAUCCCCAGGGAGAGGCAAGGCCAGCUCCACUUUCCAUAGGCUUUUCAGGGUUCUGAGAAGCCUGAAGACCCAGAAGGGUCUCUGGAAGAGUUUACAGGGUUGUCGAUAAAGGUCCAACCCUUGACCUGAGGUCUAGGCAUGCUGUUUCUUUGUUCUGUCACCCCCCCCAUGUCCCCACCAUCUGAGCACAUGUAAGCCAAGUCUGGGCCCUGAAGCCCACACCUGGCCUGGCUCCUGCCUAGAAGUCACCAAGGUCCACAGACUUGCUGCAGCUGAAAAACACGAGAAAGGACCAGCCGCAUUCUGCACAUAGCACAGCCUUCCCUGUCCCCUACCCCAACCCGGGUACUGCACAGCCUGUGUGGGGCCAGCUUACCCCAUUGCCCACCCUUGUUCCUGACUCCUCAGUCUCCACCAAGCACGGGUGGCCAAUGUGUGCCUGCCUUAGUGACUCUGGUUUUGUGAGGAGCAGAGUGUAUGGGGUUUUGAGUUUUGUUUGUUUGUUCAUUUGGUUGGUUGGUUUUUGUUUUGCUCAGAAACUAUACUCUUCAAUGUAACAGACUAAUAAAAUGCAUUUGGCAAUGCC
This is an RNA transcript of Mus musculus (house mouse), 4961 nucleotides long. It is a transcript of the gene named small G protein signaling modulator 2, with no coding region annotated. Lineage: Eukaryota; Metazoa; Chordata; Mammalia; Rodentia; Muridae. The transcript has 24 exons. The record is from RefSeq and is marked validated.